GUGGGGAAUAUUGGGCAAUGGGCGAAAGCCUGACCCAGCAACGCCGCGUGAGGGAAGAAGGUUUUCGGAUUGUAAACCUCUGUCCUUGGUGACGAACACAAUGACGGUAGCCAAGGAGGAAGCCCCGGCUAACUACGUGCCAGCAGCCGCAGUAAUACGUAGGGGGCAAGCGUUGUCCGGAAUGACUGGGCGUAAAGGGCGUGUAGGCGGCCGAUUAAGUCUGGAGUGAAAGUCCUGCUUUCAAGGUGGGAAUUGCUUUGGAGACUGGUUGGCUUGAGUGCGGAAGAGGCAAGUGGAAUUCCCAGUGUAGCGGUGAAAUGCGUAGAGAUUGGGAGGAACACCAGUGGCGAAGGCGACUUGCUGGGCCGUAACUGACGCUGAGGCGCGAAAGCGUGGGGAGCGAACAGGAUUAGAUACCCCGGUAGUCC
RNAcentral lists this ribosomal RNA (428 nucleotides) under uncultured bacterium. RNAcentral's name for it is "partial 16S ribosomal RNA". It matches the Rfam family "Bacterial small subunit ribosomal RNA", at positions 354 to 796 of the family's 1533-position model. The record is from RNAcentral.